This 440-nucleotide ribosomal RNA is filed under the name uncultured bacterium. RNAcentral's name for it is "partial 16S ribosomal RNA". It matches the Rfam family "Bacterial small subunit ribosomal RNA", at positions 338 to 795 of the family's 1533-position model. The record is from RNAcentral.
CCUACGGGUGGCAGCAGUGGGGGAUAUUGCACAAUGGGCGGAACCCUGAUCCAGCUACGCCGCGUGAGCGAUGACGUCCUUCGGUAUGUAAAGCUCUGUCAGCAGGGAAGAAAAUGACGGUACCUGACCAAGACGCCCCGGCUAAAUACGUGCCAGCAGCCACGGGAAUACGUAUGGGGCAAGCGUUAUCCGGAUUUACUGGGUGUAAAGGGAGCGGAGGCGGCAGGGCAAGACUGAUGUGAAAGCCCGGGGCUCAACCCCGGGACUGCAUUUGGGACUGCCCGGCUGGAGUGCCGGAGGGGCAGGCGGAAUUCCUAGUGUAGCGGUGAAAUGCGUAGAUAUUAGGAGGAACACCAGUGGCGAAGGCGGCCUGCUGGACGGCGACUGACGCUGAGGCUCGAAAGCGUGGGGAGCAAACAGGAUUAGAUACCCCAGUAGUC